CUUCUUCUUCUUCUUCUUCUUCUUCUUCUUCUUCUUCUUCUUCUUCUUCUUCUUCUUCAGGAUCUAUCCGAUAAUCGAUAAGCUCGCGGUUAGGACGUAACGCGAUCUAGAAAGCUGCGCGAAACUGGUGUAAUUAACGAACACGCGAAUAUCAUCUACCAGCCACGAUGGAAAUCGCGUGCUAUGCAGAACCUAUUGUCGGCGGUAGACACCGUCUACCGAAUCUUUCGAAGGUUCUCGGACGAUCGUGCAAGACUUCGGCGGUCUAGAGGGACCAGCCUCUACCUCCGAAUGGCGAAGUCGUCGAGAAGCGGCGCCCGUCCGGGUGUCGGAGCGCAGCGGAUUAUCGGAAAAACGGUCUCGCGACCGUGAAUCGACGGGCAACCUUCGUGCGGCGCGUUUAGGCGCCCUAGACUCGCCGCGUGUCGCACCGCGAACCAAAUAACGGUACGGAUGCUGGACGAGCACGUUAACACCGGUAACGGUAUCCGUUCGUCGUAUACUCGUUUCGGCGCGAAGAACUUUGUGGGCCCAAAACUACGGCUAACUGUGUCUGAUAUUUCACGAACAGCCGUUACGUCCCGACGCGGCGACUAUCAACGGUGACACGGGAGCUGGCCGGUUCGUAUCCUUCGUCGGACAGCCGUGGACACGAAUAACAAAAUCCCCGACGAUUUAUCUUCUCUCUGUUCCCGUCCCUUCGGUUCUUUGCUUCUCUUUCGUUUCUUCUGGGGAAAAAGAAAAAGAUCGACGGACGAACGCGAGACGAAUCGCUAACGAAGCCGAGACCGCGAAGAACGACCAGAUACGCGCGGAAACGACCAAAAAAAUCGCGACGUUUCGUCUGCUUUUUUUCCCUUUCUUUCUUUGUUUUCUUUUCUAUGCUAUUUCAAUCGAACGAUCUACACCGACCGUCGCAGGGAACAACGGAAAACGGCCGAGCGGUUAAGGGUGGCAGUUUUACCAGCGAGUCGACCCCGCCGACGUUGGCGAAUUAAACGAGGCGGCGAUUAUUUUCGAAGACGAAAUUCCGCGACAGCGUUUCCAGCGGACGUCGCGCAAUCGAGCCGUCGGUCGACCCGACAAAUGAAAAAUGUUACAGUUUCACUGACCUUAUCCGGGUGUUGCGUGCAACGAAUAUAUGCCCGCGCGACGCUCUCGAGUGUCGAUAAAACUGCCGAUCGAGCGAAUACCGUUCAACGGGCCCGUCCAUGUAACGGAGGGAAAAGCCAAAUCGUCGGAAUCGUCGAUUAAACGGACGGGGAACGAGCGACGCGAACGACACCGUACACCAGAUACCUUGGAAACUUUCUCCUCGCGCAAAUUUACCGAUCCUCCUCUUAUGCCACCUUGCCCGAGUCUUUUGCAAGCGAUACACCUCAGAAUUGUCACUCGUACCGUCGUUGCUCUCGCUUUUCCUUUCUCCUCCUUCUACUCUCCUUACCGUGCUGCCCCUUCUCUUUACCCUUUGACUCUCCUUCCCCUUCCUGGUCGGCUUGAUCGCGUUCGACCCCCCAGUUGUGAUACCUCCCUUCCGCACACGGUUCCUCUUCUUCUUCUUCUUCUUCUUCUCCUCCUCCUCUUUUACACCUUCUUGUCCCUUUAUCGCUCCUUGCUCGCACCUCCUUCGCGCGUCCCUGCGCUGUCGGCCUUCGCUCGUUUCCACCCCCGAGCACCUGCCAGCAUUUCUCCCCAAAGUCUCGAAUCAACUUCGGAGUACGAUGGACGUUCUACCGUGUCCUCUCGAGCCGAUCGGGAGGCUGGUACCGGAUACGAGCACCGGAGUCGUACAUGCGAUACAUGCAACGCGGAUGGGCGGCGAAGGAGAGAAAAAAAAAACACCGAUCGUCCAUGGUCGAGAAUAUAGGAAAUAAAUACAAGCUCGACGAAGAAGUAUUGCCUAAUACGUAUUUGUAUUUAUUGACUCGGGGUAUGUACUUGAAAUUCCUUCAAGCCGAUCGCGGUUAACGUUAACGUUAAACGUUAUGUCGCAAAGUGCAAACGAGGAUCCGACCGGUUGCUCGGUUGUAUUGUUUUAGUUGCUGCGUCGAACAGUAUGCGCUGCCGGAGAGCGGGCCACGCCUGGAAACAGAGACUUUUCGGUAUACAAUAAUAUAAACUCUCGGUAUCGAACCGUGGGUUCAUUGUGUGCGUUUCGAUGCCCAUCUUUGUCGGUGUUUACGAGCUGAGCGGUAUACAUCGUCGUUCGAAUGUCCGGCGAUAUCUCGCGUGUGGGUCAAUAGAACCCGGCAGCGGCUUCUUUCGGAUGUAAGUCGGAAAACCGGCGGUUUUUAAUCUGUAUUUAUUCGUUCGAUCACAGCGCGUUAUUCGUUCGCUUUAUCCGCUGAUUGUAUCAAAUAUAUUGAUAACGAUAAAAAGAAUACUAAGGCACUUCUACCGUCGAAAAUGGCUUCGUCCGCUGAUUAACACGUCUAAUCAGUAAUAUAUUCUUGAAAUAUAUGGCACCGGCCGCGACAAGGCAGAUCGGCCUUGGAAGGCACGGCGGACAACGCUCGUUCGGAUUUCUUAUCGCGAAGAAUUGGCCGGCUUAGAAUGCGCAUGUUUCGUUGCGUUAAUCUCGAUUGUAUGGCCGGCGUGUGCACGUGUGGCCGGUGCGAGUACAGGAUAGAAGAUGGAACCACGAGUGAAACGCAAAGGCAAUACCUAUCAACUGGUUUUGCAACGAACGGAAUGAAAAAACUCGUCCGACGCAAAAGUUCACGAAAACGGUAAAGAAAACGAGAAAAACAGAAGACGUCGCAAAAGGUCGGUCCAUCUUCUUCCAUUUUUCGUGGUGUCGCGCCGCGCAUUCUAUAAACGUACUAUUCUGGAUAUUCCAGCGAUGCGCGCACGUAAAAAAUAUGGGGAGAACCGACGACGCGGUGAAAACCGUAUUUGAUUUUCUUAAAAAAAACGAUACUACGUCUAUCGUACGCGAGAACGCCUCGAGCAGAAAAAUAAGAACCGUCUUCAUCUGGCAUUCAAGUCUCCGGCGAUCCGCGCCGGGAGAUCUCGAGCGGGAGCCGACAAAUCUACAUGAUGAACGAACAAUCACCGAGACAGCAUCUGUCGAUGAGAAUUUUCCAUCUGAUGGAACAUCGUGUUUUACAUAUUGAUAUUUCAUAUAAAUAAAUGGACUGGCCGACGUCA
Megalopta genalis is the source of this 3150-nucleotide non-coding RNA. NCBI's taxonomy places the organism in Eukaryota, Metazoa, Arthropoda, Insecta, Hymenoptera, Halictidae. The record is from RefSeq and is a predicted model, not a curated record.